Molecule: long non-coding RNA, 733 nt
Organism: Homo sapiens (human)
Lineage: Eukaryota; Metazoa; Chordata; Mammalia; Primates; Hominidae
Source: Ensembl
GGUGUUUAGCGGGGGCCCAACACACCUCGGUCUCCUCACCCACCUAAGCGGGGAGAGUGGCGCACAACGUGGCCUGACUCCAUCCUCUGGUAUCUCGUGCCUCAGUUUCCCAUCUGUAAAUGGAACACACGCGAUUUCAGCCGCCGUUCAACCUUUCUAAAAGCUUUCACAUCCAUUAUCUGACUGGUGUCUCAAACUGCUACUGAGGCUUCAGCUCUGAUCUGGACCAGUGCUCUCCAGGCCUACUGCACAGCUGUCAUACUGAACUUUCCUAUAUCCUACACCUGGUUGGGAUUCCCUGUGCCCUGGACCUUGUGUCUCAAACUUCUAGAUUGUGGAUUUACUCUGUCAUCUCUGUGCAGCACAUCUUUCUGUAGAUUCCUGAGAAAGGUUGCAAAGAAGCAAAUAUAUUUAGUCCUUGUAUGUCUAAAUAUGCAUUUAUACUGUUUUCACACUUGAUUAAUAGUUUAGCAGGGUAUAGAAAUCUAGGCUGAAGGCCAGGCGCCAUGUCUUAUGCCUGUAAUCCCAGCACUUUGGGAGGUCGAGGCAGGCAGAUCACCUGAGGUCAAGUGUUUGAGACCAGCCUGGCCAACAUGCUGAAACCUUGUCUCUACUAAAAAUACAAAAAAAACAUUAGCUGGGCAUGGUGGCACAUGCCUGUAGUCCCAGCUACUCGGGGAGGCUGAGGCAGGAUAAUCACUUGAACCCAGGAGGCAGAGGUUGCAGUAAGCCA